This 73-nucleotide transfer RNA is filed under the name Angiostrongylus costaricensis. It matches the Rfam family "tRNA". Rfam says of the family: Transfer RNA (tRNA) molecules are approximately 80 nucleotides in length. Their secondary structure includes four short double-helical elements and three loops (D, anti-codon, and T loops). The record is from Rfam by way of RNAcentral. Lineage: Eukaryota; Metazoa; Nematoda; Chromadorea; Rhabditida; Metastrongylidae.
GACCGCGUGGCGCAAUGGAUAACGCGUCUGCCUUCGGAGCAGAAGAUUGCAGGUUCGAAUCGUGCCGGGGUCG